UGAACUAUGCCUGGGCAGGGCAAAGCCAGAGGAAACUGGUGGAGGUCCGUAGCAGUCCUGACGUGCAAANCGGUCAUCCGACCUGGGUAUAGGGGCGAAAUAAUAAUAAUA
This 111-nucleotide non-coding RNA is filed under the name Ophiophagus hannah (king cobra). RNAcentral describes it as "Eukaryotic large subunit ribosomal RNA". It matches the Rfam family "Eukaryotic large subunit ribosomal RNA", at positions 827 to 939 of the family's 3401-position model. Lineage: Eukaryota; Metazoa; Chordata; Lepidosauria; Squamata; Elapidae. The record is from Rfam by way of RNAcentral.